GCUUACGGCCAUACCAGCCUGGGUACGCACGAUCUCGUCUGAUCUCGGAAGCUAAGCAGGGUCUGGGCCUGGUUAGUACUUGGAUGGGAGACCGCCUGGGAAUACCAGGUGCUGUAAGCA
Molecule: ribosomal RNA, 120 nt
Filed under: Salmo salar (Atlantic salmon)
Lineage: Eukaryota; Metazoa; Chordata; Actinopteri; Salmoniformes; Salmonidae
Source: RNAcentral